UUAAUUUUUUGUAGUGACAGGGUCCCACCUCACCCUCCCAGAGCAAUGGGAUUACAGGCAUGAACCAUCAUGCCCAGCCAAAGGAGGUUCACAUUUUUUUUCUUUUUCCCUCUGGGAGGUUUACCUUUAUCCUUUAAUCAGUGUGUGCUUUGAGCAUUGGUGAAUUAGGUUCUUAUGUGAUGGCAAGCAAAAUCUGGCUUCAUAAAAAGCUAGAAGCAGGAAGACCAAUGAGACUACCUUUGGAGAGCUUGGAGGUAGGGAAUAUGGCUAGCAUUCGGAUAAAUGUCUUAGUGACACCUUCUCAUCCUGUUUCCCUUGCAGCCCGCGUGACCCCAACUCUGCCGAAGCAGGACCGUCCUGUGCGUGAGGGGACCCGGGUAGCCUCUAUUGAGACAGGUUUGGCUGCAGCAGCUGCAAAGCUGGCCCAGCAGGAGCUACAGAAGGCCCAAAAGAAGAAAUAUAUCAAGAAGAAGCCUUUGCUGAAGGAGGUAGAACAGCCUCGCCCUCAAGAUUCCAAUCUCAGUCUGACAGUACCAGCCCCCACUGUGGCUGCCACACCACAACUUGUCACCUCCUCCU
Molecule: small RNA, 579 nt
Filed under: Pan troglodytes (chimpanzee)
Lineage: Eukaryota; Metazoa; Chordata; Mammalia; Primates; Hominidae
Description: retained intron
Source: RNAcentral